AAAGGAAGAAGAUCUAAGAAUGCUUCUUUAAGAAGCUUUCUCGAUGGAGGGGAGUGGCAGACGGGUGAGUAACGCGUGGGAACAUACCCUUUUCUACGGAAUAGCUCUGGGAAACUGGAAUUAAUACCGUAUACGCCCUACGGGGGAAAGAUUUAUCGGGGAAGGAUUGGCCCGCGUUGGAUUAGCUAGUUGGGGGGGUAAAGGCCAACCAAGGCGACGAUCCAUAGCUGGUCUGAGAGGAUGAUCAGCCACAUUGGGACUGAGACACGGCCCAAACUCCUACGGGAGGCAGCAGUGGGGAAUAUUGGACAAUGGGCGCAAGCCUGAUCCAGCCAUGCCGCGUGAGUGAUGAAGGCCUUAGGGUUGUAAAGCUCUUUCACCGAUGAAGAUAAUGACGGUAGUCGGAGAAGAAGCCCCGGCUAACUUCGUGCCAGCCGCCGCCGUAA
This 446-nucleotide ribosomal RNA is filed under the name uncultured bacterium. RNAcentral's name for it is "partial 16S ribosomal RNA". It matches the Rfam family "Bacterial small subunit ribosomal RNA", at positions 65 to 523 of the family's 1533-position model. The record is from RNAcentral.